AUGGAGAGAAUUUUUAUUGGUGAUAUGCGUGACGGUGCUGCUGAUCUAGUUCAGAGCUCGAUUCAUCUGUUGAACAACAUGAAGCUUUUCAAAACUAUGCAAGACUCUCGCUGCAAGCCAUAUGAAGAAAGUGCAAAUGUUGUUAUCAGGCAGAUUGAGCAGUAUGAGGCUGCUGCCACCGACAGCAGGGCUGGUGAUGGUACCGAGGCUAAUGUUUCUGAUCACGAAACAAAUGAUGUUGGCUUGGAGCGCCCUGUUGUUGAUAUUGAGCAGGAUGAGGCUGCUGCCACUGACAGCAGGGCUGAUGAUGGUACUGAGGCUAAUGUUUCUGAUCACCAUACGAACGAUGUUGGCUUGGAGCACCCUGUUGUUGAUGAGACCAGUCAUAAUGUUGAGGCUGCUGUUGACCGUGGAGUUAAUGAUCCAUCUACUGAUAAGUGCAAGGGUCCUGUUGUUGGCGACGAGCCUUGUUCGCCCGUUGGUGAUGUUCCUUUGAAUGUUAGCAGCAGCAAGAUCAAUGAUGUUGCUGUGAAUGCUUCUAAGAUGACUGAUGUUGAGCGUGAGGCUGUCGUUAGUGGUGGAGAUGAUGCUCGUGGUGUUCCAUUGAGUAGUGGGUGCGAUGUUGGUACCAAAGUUGCUGAUGAGGAUGUUGGUGCUGCCAGCAUACUUGAUGCCAAAUCGUCUGGUGUUGGUAUUGCUGGGAAUGAAAAUGUUUCUGAUUGUGAUGAUUUGCCGCCGGAGAAUUUCCCGCCUGGAGGUCUUGAUUACGGUGAUGCAUUGCAAGAUGCCUCUAGCGUAGAGGAGGUGCCAUCCGAGGAGAUGCCUCUUCUGGCCCCUUGA
Molecule: ribosomal RNA, 840 nt
Filed under: Triticum aestivum (bread wheat)
Lineage: Eukaryota; Viridiplantae; Streptophyta; Magnoliopsida; Poales; Poaceae
Description: partial small subunit ribosomal RNA
Source: RNAcentral